CGGAUUUUAUGCGGUAACUGAUAC
This 24-nucleotide non-coding RNA is filed under the name Arabidopsis thaliana (thale cress). Lineage: Eukaryota; Viridiplantae; Streptophyta; Magnoliopsida; Brassicales; Brassicaceae. The record is from RNAcentral.